Molecule: ribosomal RNA, 492 nt
Filed under: uncultured bacterium
Lineage: Bacteria
Description: partial 16S ribosomal RNA
Rfam family: Bacterial small subunit ribosomal RNA
Source: RNAcentral
AGUGAACGCUGGCGGUAGGCCUAACACAUGCAAGUCGAACGGCAGCACAGUAAGAGCUUGCUCUUACGGGUGGCGAGUGGCGGACGGGUGAGGAAUACAUCGGAAUCUACUUUUUCGUGGGGGAUAACGUAGGGAAACUUACGCUAAUACCGCAUACGACCUACGGGUGAAAGCAGGGGAUCUUCGGACCUUGCGCGAUUGAAUGAGCCGAUGUCGGAUUAGCUAGUUGGCGGGGUAAAGGCCCACCAAGGCGACGAUCCGUAGCUGGUCUGAGAGGAUGAUCAGCCACACUGGAACUGAGACACGGUCCAGACUCCUACGGGAGGCAGCAGUGGGGAAUAUUGGACAAUGGGCGCAAGCCUGAUCCAGCCAUACCGCGUGGGUGAAGAAGGCCUUCGGGUCGUAAAGACCUUUUGUUGGGAAAGAAAAGCAGCAGGUUAAUACCCCGCUGUUCUGACGGUACCCAAAGAAUAAGCACCGGCUAACUUCGUG